Molecule: ribosomal RNA, 432 nt
Filed under: Triticum aestivum (bread wheat)
Lineage: Eukaryota; Viridiplantae; Streptophyta; Magnoliopsida; Poales; Poaceae
Description: partial small subunit ribosomal RNA
Source: RNAcentral
AUGAGUGCGGCACUGGGGGUGGAAGGUUGGCCGGAGGCAGCACCGAGGCGAGCUGUGCGGCAGGAGGCUUCGCGGCGGGUGACGGCCUCGCCCGCCGGCGGCCGCGUCGCAGUCCGCAUCGAUCCCCAGCCCCCUUCGUUGCUCGUGGCGAUGGCUCGAACUUCAUCUCCGAGCACCCGAGAUCCCCUGCUUCCAAGCCUGGAAGGUCAUCGACUCGUAAGUCUACAAGCUGUCCCACGGCUGCCUUCAUUUCCACCCAGAAAGGAUGCUCAACGGGACUUGGUCACGCCGAGAUAUCAGCAACAAUCGACACCGACAAAGCUCAAUUAUCUAUUGCAUAUUCAGAAGAAAGCAACUCCUGUCGACAAUCAAGGCACUAUGACAGGUAGCUCAAGCCUAAGAUGCAAACAUCUCAAGGAAUGGAGUUGCUGA